RNAcentral lists this ribosomal RNA (253 nucleotides) under uncultured bacterium. RNAcentral's name for it is "partial 16S ribosomal RNA". It matches the Rfam family "Bacterial small subunit ribosomal RNA", at positions 524 to 776 of the family's 1533-position model. The record is from RNAcentral.
GACAGAGGUGGCAAGCGUUGCUCGGAAUCACUGGGCGUAAAGGGCGCGUAGGCGGGAUGGCAAGUCAGUCGUGAAAUCUCUCGGCUCAACCGAGAAACGUCGGCUGAUACUGCCGUUCUUGAGGGAUGCAGAGGAGACUGGAAUUCCCGGUGUAGCGGUGAAAUGUGUAGAGAUCGGGAGGAACACCGGUGGCGAAGGCGGGUCUCUGGGCAUCUCCUGACGCUGAGGCGCGAAAGCGUGGGGAGCAAACGGG